RNAcentral lists this small nucleolar RNA (73 nucleotides) under Mustela putorius furo (domestic ferret). RNAcentral's name for it is "Small nucleolar RNA SNORD112 (ENSMPUG00000021766.1)". The record is from RNAcentral. Lineage: Eukaryota; Metazoa; Chordata; Mammalia; Carnivora; Mustelidae.
CAGUCCAAUGAUGACAAUGUGUCAUGGACCGAGGGUCAUGAUUAAUACAAUUAAUGUACCCCAGAUUACUAAU